Molecule: long non-coding RNA, 956 nt
Organism: Daphnia pulex (common water flea)
Lineage: Eukaryota; Metazoa; Arthropoda; Branchiopoda; Diplostraca; Daphniidae
Exons: 5
Source: RefSeq, a predicted model, not a curated record
UGUCCAGUGUGUCGCUAGAUGGUGUCGGUAUUGUUUUUAAAAUGGCGAAAUGUGUGAAGAGUUUUGUCAUCUUCUGUUUUCGAAUUUUCCUGUUUUACUGCCCAAAAUCAACCAAUUUACCUAAAAUGUACCUGCCGUCUAGUCAUCAGAUUAAAUUUGGACUCCAUUUAAAAAACCAAUUGCUCAACCCUUCUAUGACUCACACGCUCAGCAUCAUCUGCAUCAUCCUCUCACAUCUUAGACAAAACUGCAAGCUGUUAUGCCCAAAAGUUGUGGCAUUACAUAUACGAUUACAGGUUCCUUCUUGCCUGAAAGAUGUUUACACCUUUAAACACUUUUGGUGGGGUUGUUGCGUCAUGAAAUUGUAUUGCUGCCAUUCCCCGCAUCUCCCACUUCAUAGCUACAAGAAACGAGCCUACAACAGAAAAAAGCCUACAACAGAUUGAGGAAUUCAUAGGUUGUGUGGUAUGUCAAUGGAUUCAUUGGAUUUCGCGAGCAGCCGCCGAUGUCAAUCUACAACGCAGUUUCUUUAUUGGAAUUGUGUGGUCCUGGCACAGAGAUCCUUGAUGCUGGCCUUUGUCCAUUACAGAAGAGUGACUUCUACCAACUCUCUGCUCCAUCCUUAUCUUCGCUUCCCACACUCAUCUAGCUUCUCUGCUUAUUAUGCUGCUAAACAAUUUGUCGUACUUCACUGACGAGUUAGACCAGUCGCUUCCGUCGGCCUGUCACUCUCCACGGAUUUAUGCCCAGGUAAUGCAGAUGAGACGUCGAGAAGAUGGAAUUCCGAGACUCGUCAUCAACGUGGAUCAUCGUGUUAUUGGUAUUAUUUCGUUAUGUGUUAGUUAACCCGUUGUCUGCCACGCCUUUGUUCUCCCCUAGCUCCUUAGCACGGGCCGCGCUGUUCGGUCUCGUGGUUUACAAGCCGCGGGGUCGGAGAGUCGCCAAGCCCAAAAUCU